AGAGUUUGAUCCUGGCUCAGAAUGAACGCUGGCGGCGUGCCUAACACAUGCAAGUCGGAUGUGCCGCAAGGUGCAUGGCAGACGGGUGAGUAACGCGUGGGCAAUCUACCUUUUAGUGGGGAAUAACGAUCCGAAAGGAUUGGUAAUACCGCAUGUGAUCAUCGACUGGGAUGUUGGUGAUGAAAGCCGGGGACCGCAAGGCCUGGCGCUAGGAGAGGAGCCCGCGUCUGAUUAGUUAGUUGGUGGGGUAACGGCCUACCAAGACAUCGAUCAGUAGCCGGCCUGAGAGGGUGAUCGGCCACACUGGAACUGAGACACGGCCCAGACUCCUACGGGAGGCAGCAGUGGGGAAUAUUGCACAAUGGGCGCAAGCCUGAUGCAGCAACGCCGCGUGAGGGACGACGGCCUUCGGGUUGUAAACCUCUUUUAGCAGGGAAGAAGCGAAAGUGACGGUACCUGCAGAAAAAGCACCGGCUAACUACGUGCCAGCAGCCGCGGUAAUACGUAGGGUGCAAGCGUUGUCCGGAAUUAUUGGGCGUAAAGAGCUCGUAGGCGGUUUGUCGCGUCUGCUGUGAAAACCCGAGGCUCAACCUCGGGCCUGCAGUGGGUACGGGCAGACUAGAGUGCGGUAGGGGAGAUUGGAAUUCCUGGUGUAGCGGUGGAAUGCGCAGAUAUCAGGAGGAACACCGAUGGCGAAGGCAGAUCUCUGGGCCGUAACUGACGCUGAGGAGCGAAAGCGUGGGGAGCGAACAGGAUUAGAUACCCUGGUAGUCC
Molecule: ribosomal RNA, 774 nt
Filed under: uncultured bacterium
Lineage: Bacteria
Description: bacterial SSU rRNA
Rfam family: Bacterial small subunit ribosomal RNA
Source: RNAcentral